UACGUAGGUCCCGAGCGUUGUCCGGAUUUAUUGGGCGUAAAGCGGGCGCAGGUGGUUUAUUAAGUCUGGUGUAAAAGGCAGUGGCUCAACCAUUGUAUGCAUUGGAAACUGGUAGACUUGAGUGCAGGAGAGGAGAGUGGAAUUCCAUGUGUAGCGGUGAAAUGCGUAGAUAUAUGGAGGAACACCGGUGGCGAAAGCGGCUCUCUGGCCUGUAACUGAUACUGAGGCUCGAAAGCGUGGGGAGCAAACAGG
RNAcentral lists this ribosomal RNA (252 nucleotides) under uncultured bacterium. Its description in RNAcentral is "partial 16S ribosomal RNA". It matches the Rfam family "Bacterial small subunit ribosomal RNA", at positions 524 to 776 of the family's 1533-position model. The record is from RNAcentral.